This 252-nucleotide ribosomal RNA is filed under the name uncultured bacterium. RNAcentral's name for it is "partial 16S ribosomal RNA". It matches the Rfam family "Bacterial small subunit ribosomal RNA", at positions 524 to 776 of the family's 1533-position model. The record is from RNAcentral.
UAUGUAGGUCCCGAGCGUUGUCCGGAUUUAUUGGGCGUAAAGCGAGCGCAGGUGGUUUAUUAAGUCUGGUGUAAAAGGCAGUGGCUCAACCAUUGUAUGCAUUGGAAACUGGUAGACUUGAGUGCAGGAGAGGAGAGUGGAAUUCCAUGUGUAGCGGUGAAAUGCGUAGAUAUAUGGAGGAACACCGGUGGCGAAAGCGGUUCUCUGGCCUGUAACUGACACUGAGGCUCGAAAGCGUGGGGAGCAAACAGG